RNAcentral lists this ribosomal RNA (346 nucleotides) under Scymnus sp. CO449. Its description in RNAcentral is "partial 12S ribosomal RNA". The record is from RNAcentral. Lineage: Eukaryota; Metazoa; Arthropoda; Insecta; Coleoptera; Coccinellidae.
UAUAAAUGUAUAAUUAAAAACUAAUUGAUUAAUAGUUAUGGUCUUUAAAAAUAAAUAAUUUGGCGGUAUUUUAGUCUUUUCAGAGGAACCUGUUUUAUAAAUGAUAAUCCACGAUUAAUCAAUCUUAAAUUAGAAAUUUAUAUAUCAUCGUUAUUAAAUAUUUUAAAAGAAGUUAAUAUUUAAAAAAUAAAAUUUUAUUUUAAUUCAGAUCAUGGUAUAGUUUAUAUUUAAGUAAUAAUGGGUUACAAUAUUAAUAAAUUUGGAAUUUAAAUUUAAAAUUUAAAUGAAAUUGGAUUUGAAAGUAAUUAUUUUUAUAUAAUAAUAAUGAUUAAGCUCUAAAAUAUGC